This 273-nucleotide ribosomal RNA is filed under the name Triticum aestivum (bread wheat). RNAcentral describes it as "partial small subunit ribosomal RNA". Lineage: Eukaryota; Viridiplantae; Streptophyta; Magnoliopsida; Poales; Poaceae. The record is from RNAcentral.
AUGUUGUCCUGGCCACCAAGGUGCAAUAGCAGGAACGGAGCCCAGAACGCCACUAACUGGUGCUCCGGCGACCUGCUGGUCACCGACAUAUGGCCCAGAGUGUAUAUGGCCGUUGUGUCAGCCAGUAGAUAUGCCGACCACACGACGACCCUUAGCACGCCGGAGUCUUUCCGACGGCGGAUCUCCGCCGUGAUGAGGAGAGUUACCUGGAGUGCUAAACUCAGCAGCACCAGCACUUGGAUCCCCCACUCUCUCCAGAGCGCCACUAGCUGA